GUGCCAGCCGCCGCGGUAAUACGUAGGGGGCGAGCGUUAUUCGGAAUUACUGGGCGUAAAGCGUGCGCAGGCGGUUUGGUAAGAUAGGCGUGAAAUCCCCGGGCUCAACCUGGGAACUGCGUUUAUAACUGGCUAGCUAGAGUAUGGCAGAGGGGGGUGGAAUUCCUCGUGUAGCGGUGAAAUGCGUAGAGAUGAGGAGGAACACCGAUGGCGAAGGCAACCCCCUGGGCCAAUACUGACGCUGAUGCACGAAAGCGUGGGUAGCGAACAGGAUUAGAUACCCUGGUAGUCCACGCCCUAA
RNAcentral lists this ribosomal RNA (301 nucleotides) under uncultured bacterium. RNAcentral's name for it is "bacterial SSU rRNA". It matches the Rfam family "Bacterial small subunit ribosomal RNA", at positions 505 to 805 of the family's 1533-position model. The record is from RNAcentral.